CAUCACUACGCUAGAUGCAUAUCAAUAAGCGGAGGAAAAGAAACUAACAAGGAUUCCCUUAGUAACGGCGAGUGAAGCGGGAAGAGCUCAAAUUUGUAAUCUUCAAGGUUCUACCUUGACGAAUUGUAGUUUAUAGAAGUGUUUUCUGUUAGUAGAGGUGGUAAAAGUUCUUUGGAAUAGGACAUCAUAGAGGGUGAGAAUCCCGUAUUUGGUCACUUUCUACUAGCUUUGUGAUACACUUUCAACGAGUCGGAUUGUUUGGGAAUGCAGUCCAAAAUGGGUGGUAAAUUUCAUCUAAAGCUAAAUAUUGGCGAGAGACCGAUAGCGAACAAGUACCGUGAGGGAAAGAUGAAAAGAACUUUGAAAAGAGAGUUAAACAGUACGUGAAAUUGUCAAAAGGGAAGCGUUUGACACCAGUGUUGUUUAGUUGAAAAUCAAUUCAAUAAUUUUUGAUUUUAAGUAGUAUUGACUUCAUCAGCUUGCUGCUUUCUUUUCGGAAAUUAUGGAAUGCACUUUUCAGUUAACAAGUCAACAUCAAUUUCUUUUGUUGUAAAAGGGUAAGAGGAAGGUGGCUUACGCUUCGGCGUAAGUGUUUAUAGCCUUUUACCUCUGCAAUCGGAGAGAUUGAGGACAGCAGCGUAGACUCUUCGGGGUUAGAUACACUUGUGCUAAGCUAUAGCCUUGUAUAGACAACUUGUUGACUAUGCUCAGUCAUGUAGCUUACUCGCUUGUGCUAUUUUACCUACGCUUAGGAUGUUGACACACGCGCGUGCUCG
Molecule: ribosomal RNA, 776 nt
Filed under: uncultured Neocallimastigales
Lineage: Eukaryota; Fungi; Neocallimastigomycota; Neocallimastigomycetes; Neocallimastigales
Description: partial large subunit ribosomal RNA
Rfam family: Eukaryotic large subunit ribosomal RNA
Source: RNAcentral